RNAcentral lists this small RNA (77 nucleotides) under Flavobacterium sp. ov086. RNAcentral's name for it is "Flavo-1 RNA". It matches the Rfam family "Flavo-1 RNA". The record is from RNAcentral. Lineage: Bacteria; Pseudomonadati; Bacteroidota; Flavobacteriia; Flavobacteriales; Flavobacteriaceae.
UAUUAGCCCCGAUAGCAGUGAAAUCCUUUUGUGCCAGAGUUCGGUACAAAAGAUUGUAACGAAUAGCGGGAAGAGCU